Molecule: ribosomal RNA, 497 nt
Filed under: uncultured bacterium
Lineage: Bacteria
Description: partial 16S ribosomal RNA
Rfam family: Bacterial small subunit ribosomal RNA
Source: RNAcentral
GAUGAACGCUGGCGGCGUGCCUAAUACAUGCAAGUCGAGCGAACAGACGAGGAGCUUGCUCCUCUGACGUUAGCGGCGGACGGGUGAGUAACACGUGGAUAACCUACCUAUAAGACUGGGAUAACUUCGGGAAACCGGAGCUAAUACCAGAUAAUAUAUUGAACCGCAUGGUUCAAUAGUGAAAGACGGUUUUGCUGUCACUUAUAGAUGGAUCCGUGCCGCAUUAGCUAGUUGGUAAGGUAACGGCUUACCAAGGCAACGAUGCGCAGCCGACCUGAGAGGGUGAUCGGCCACACUGGAACUGAGACACGGUCCAGACUCCUACGGGAGGCAGCAGUAGGGAAUCUUCCGCAAAGGGCGAAAGCCUGACGGAGCAACGCCGCGUGAGUGAUGAAGGUCUUCGGAUCGUAAAACUCUGUUAUUAGGGAAGAACAAAUGUGUAAGUAACUAUGCACGUCUUGACGGUACCUAAUCAGAAAGCCACGGCUAACUACGUG